Molecule: transfer-messenger RNA, 363 nt
Filed under: Escherichia coli
Lineage: Bacteria; Pseudomonadati; Pseudomonadota; Gammaproteobacteria; Enterobacterales; Enterobacteriaceae
Rfam family: transfer-messenger RNA
About the family: Bacterial tmRNA, also known as 10Sa RNA or SsrA, is named for its dual tRNA and mRNA-like properties. Its role is to liberate the mRNA from a stalled ribosome.
Source: RNAcentral
GGGGCUGAUUCUGGAUUCGACGGGAUUUGCGAAACCCAAGGUGCAUGCCGAGGGGCGGUUGGCCUCGUAAAAAGCCGCAAAAAAUAGUCGCAAACGACGAAAACUACGCUUUAGCAGCUUAAUAACCUGCUUAGAGCCCUCUAUCCCUAGCCUCCGCUCUUAGGACGGGGAUCAAGAGAGGUCAAACCCAAAAGAGAUCGCGUGGAAGCCCUGCCUGGGGUUGAAGCGUUAAAACUUAAUCAGGCUAGUUUGUUAGUGGCGUGUCCGUCCGCAGCUGGCAAGCGAAUGUAAAGACUGACUAAGCAUGUAGUACCGAGGACGUAGGAAUUUCGGACGCGGGUUCAACUCCCGCCAGCUCCACCA